UUCGCAAUGCCCGAAAGGGUGACGAAGCGACGCCGCGUGCGGGAAGAAGGCCUUCGGGUUGUAAACCGCUGUCGGGAGUUAAGAAAUGCAAGGGUGUUAACAGCAUCCUUGCUUGACUAAGGCUCCGGAGGAAGCCACGGCUAACUCUGUGCCAGCAGCCGCGGUAAUACAGAGGCGGCAAGCGUUGUUCGGAAUUAUUGGGCGUAAAGAGCACGUAGGCGGCCGUGUAAGUCGGCUGUGAAAGCCUUCCGCUCAACGGGAGAACGGCAUCCGAUACUGCAUGGCUUGAGUGCGGGAGGGGAGAGUGGAACUUCUGGUGGAGCGGUGAAGUGCGUAGAUAUCAGAAGGAACGCCGGCGGCGAAAGCGGCUCUCUGGCCCGUAACUGACGCUGAGUGUGCGAAAGCUAGGGGAGCAAACGGGAUUAGAUACCCCGGUAGUCCUAGCCGUAAACGAUGGGCACUAAGUAGAGGGGUUUU
RNAcentral lists this ribosomal RNA (477 nucleotides) under uncultured bacterium. RNAcentral's name for it is "bacterial SSU rRNA". It matches the Rfam family "Bacterial small subunit ribosomal RNA", at positions 365 to 832 of the family's 1533-position model. The record is from RNAcentral.